RNAcentral lists this non-coding RNA (160 nucleotides) under bovine gut metagenome. RNAcentral's name for it is "malK-I RNA". It matches the Rfam family "malK-I RNA", at positions 10 to 171 of the family's 181-position model. The record is from RNAcentral.
GGCAGGCCACUCCACAUAAUGGCCUACCGCACAUUAAAAAAGGAGGAAGCACAUCCGCCGGUUCGCGGUGCGGCAGUGUGGAGACCUGCCGUAAUGCGGUUCGCUCUGCGUGUGCGACGCGAGAUCGCCUCUGCGGAGGCUGGGCGAUCAGAACCGAAGC